RNAcentral lists this ribosomal RNA (247 nucleotides) under uncultured bacterium. RNAcentral describes it as "partial 16S ribosomal RNA". It matches the Rfam family "Bacterial small subunit ribosomal RNA", at positions 92 to 334 of the family's 1533-position model. The record is from RNAcentral.
UGAGUUGCGAACGGGUGAGUAACGCGUAGGUAACCUGCCUGGUAGCGGGGGAUAACUAUUGGAAACGAUAGCUAAUACCGCAUGAAAUUGCUUAUCGCAUGAUAAUUAAUUGAAAGAUGCAAUUGCAUCACUACCAGAUGGACCUGCGUUGUAUUAGCUAGUUGGUGAGGUAACGGCUCACCAAGGCGACGAUACAUAGCCGACCUGAGAGGGUGAUCGGCCACACUGGGACUGAGACACGGCCCAG